Wasmannia auropunctata (little fire ant) is the source of this 2168-nucleotide long non-coding RNA. RefSeq lists it as uncharacterized. The record is from RefSeq and is a predicted model, not a curated record. Lineage: Eukaryota; Metazoa; Arthropoda; Insecta; Hymenoptera; Formicidae. The transcript has 3 exons.
UUCUGCGGACUGCGGGCGACGCGGGCGAAUUAGCGAAAUAGCGAGAGCAAUAGCCGGAACUAAGUGGAACACGGAAUUCAUUACGGGAAUGUGUUUGAGCAAUUACACAUCGAUGUACCGUAUACGCCGCGCGCGCUUGUUGAUUGGAUUUGAGUUUAUGCCAAGGAACGGUAUAGACCACUAUAAUGAACUUUCAAUUAGUGCCGUGGUCCCAACCUUGACAGUGGAGGUCAGUGGCUCUCAUCCUGCCGAUGUGAACGGGCUGGCAUAAAGGCAAAAAUGCCCAACCCCGAUCCGCGUAUAGCGGAGGAUAAUCACAACGUCGCCGGCGGGCGUCACAGGUGAAAUCGAAAUCGGUUUGUUGGCUAAUUGACGCAGAUUUAUCUUUCACGCGCACAAAUAACUUUCUUCCCAGCCACUUAUAAAAAUUCAUCUUAAUUACAAAUCACAUAGACAGCCGUAGAUAUUUUCAAAUUUUAUAGUCGUACACUUGUACUUCAGCUGUGUACCUAUACCUUUUCUUUCUUUAUGGAAAAAAUAAUUAUCUAUUAAUGAAUCGUAUAAAUCGUAUGUAUAAAUCGCGCUUUCGAUCUCUGACUGCAGACCUUAAUUGUUGUUCUUGUUUCGAUUGAAUAUCAAAAUGGAUUUUUUAAAAUCGUUCUCUAAAUUGCAAGUAGUUUAAAAUUUUAAUCGAAGCGGGAGACUCCGGUGUUUUUAAAUCUCUCUCGCUGAACAAUAAGGGGAAAGGGGGGCUCGAUGCACCUAUCUCGCAAUAGAUCCCCGCGCGUGUUACGCGGAAAAUCAAUUACGAUCUGUCCCGAAGCGUAUAAAAAGACCGACAAUGUAAACAACAGACGGGUCAUCGUUCGAUCUGACAUUACCCUACGGCGUUAUUACUGCAAUUGUAUACGCGACGACUGUGUACACGAUGUGCCGAUCCCCCACGACUAUAUCAUCAUCGCGCUCGCCGCAGCGGUGUAAGAGGAAACGCGAUGCAUCGGCGAAAUGCUCCAUUUCCCAGAUACCUCGUUGUUGUGCCUCGUUAUACUGGGAGAGAAUGGGGUAGAGGGGGAGGGGGAAGAUCGGUAAGCUAUGCAGUAUUUAAGUACCGUUUUCUACGGCGGAGGUAUCCGCGCGGUCGGUUUCCGCGGUGCUCAAUUAAUCGGCUUGAUUAACGAGCGUUCCCGUCAACGGCCACCAGGCCCAUUAUUCGCGGACUCGCGCAACUUUUUUACCCGCGCUUUUACAUAUAUAUACAUAUAGAUACCCCCGGCGCGGCGUUUCCGUUGCCCCCGAGAGGAUCGCUGAACUUUGGACCGGCCGUAUAUUUCUCGCGACGCCUCGGCAAGUGUUGCGCAAGCGAUUUUAAGUUGUACAGCCGAGAUGCAUUGCAAAGCGAAAAAUUGGACUCGGCCGGAGAAAGGCGAUACCCUGCGUGUGCUUACACGUCAGAUUAUACACAUGCAUCGCGAAGCGACAGAAGAAUCAUCGGCUGCUUUUCCACCAUUCGGAGGCGAAGGGCGAUAAAGCGUAAAUAGGUCGCCGAGGCGAUAAGUUACGAAUAUGAUUGGAUCCGAUACGAUCUUCACAGAUGUAGGUCAUGUUCUUCGCAGAGGUCUAUAUUUCGAGCGGGAUAUUUCGGAUGCGAUUAUCCAGCGAGGAUGAUUUCGCCAUUUACUCACGAGGCGUUGGGAAUCAUCGCCCCUCGCCGCCUUGGAGGCUGCACACACACGUAUAUAGGACGUGGAGGACUUGAAGGGGGAACGUAUAAAAUCAGUACGUCUCGAGAAUGAAAUCACGUCGCUCGUAUAUGAGACAGUAAAAUGAUGGAAUAGCGUCUCGCGUGUAACGCUCCCGAGAUUUACGACGGGGAACUUGACGACGGCGACGACGAUCCACGUGCACUCGCGGCGUUUACACUCGAGACGUCGAUGGUGUUGCAACAGGCGACUGUACACGGGGCUGUUUACCGAACUGUUUACAGCUGUUUUGCGCUCGAAAGUGUGUGCAUAAUUUAGACGGGACUGCGGCUAUUGUCGUGCCGAAUAAACUCCACGUUUCGCAUUAUUCGCUCCGUGAAUUACAUUGUAAAUGAGUAUACCGAUAAAGUUAUCCCGCAAUUUGCCGUCGUUAUUAAAAGUAAAUAAAACGCCCGCCCUGCGUAUACA